RNAcentral lists this ribosomal RNA (649 nucleotides) under uncultured bacterium. RNAcentral's name for it is "bacterial SSU rRNA". It matches the Rfam family "Bacterial small subunit ribosomal RNA", at positions 150 to 795 of the family's 1533-position model. The record is from RNAcentral.
AUCGAAAGGUUGGCUAAUACCGCAUACGCCCUAUGGGGGAAAGCUAGGGAUCUUCGCACCGGCGUUAAUGGAGCGGCCGAUAUCUGAUUAGCUAGUUGGUGGGGUAAAGGCCCACCAAGGCGACGAUCAGUAGCUGGUCUGAGAGGACGACCAGCCACACUGGAACUGAGACACGGUCCAGACUCCUACGGGAGGCAGCAGUGGGGAAUUUUGGACAAUGGGCGCAAGCCUGAUCCAGCCAUUCCGCGUGAGUGAAGAAGGCCUUCGGGUUGUAAAGCUCUUUCGCAAGGGAAGAAAACUUAGGCGCUAAUAUCGCUUGAGGUUGACGGUACCUUGAUAAGAAGCACCGGCUAACUACGUGCCAGCAGCCGCGGUAAUACGUAGGGUGCGAGCGUUAAUCGGAAUUACUGGGCGUAAAGCGUGCGCAGGCGGUUUUGUAAGUCAGAUGUGAAAUCCCCGAGCUCAACUUGGGAACUGCGUUUGAAACUACAAGACUAGAAUAUGUCAGAGGGGGGUAGAAUUCCACGUGUAGCAGUGAAAUGCGUAGAGAUGUGGAGGAAUACCAAUGGCGAAGGCAGCCCCCUGGGAUAAUAUUGACGCUCAUGCACGAAAGCGUGGGGAGCAAACAGGAUUAGAUACCCUGGUAGUC